RNAcentral lists this ribosomal RNA (253 nucleotides) under uncultured bacterium. RNAcentral describes it as "partial 16S ribosomal RNA". It matches the Rfam family "Bacterial small subunit ribosomal RNA", at positions 524 to 776 of the family's 1533-position model. The record is from RNAcentral.
CACGUAGGGCGCAAGCGUUGUCCGGAAUUAUUGGGCGUAAAGAGCUCGUAGGCGGACUGUCACGUCCGCUGUGAAAAGCUAGGGCUUAACCCUGGCCUUGCAGUGGAUACGGGCAGACUAGAGGUAGGUAGGGGAGAAUGGAAUUCCCGGUGUAGCGGUGAAAUGCGCAGAUAUCAGGAGGAACACCGGUGGCGAAGGCGGUUCUCUGGGCAUGUUCUGACGCUGAGGAGCGAAAGUGUGGGGAGCGAACAGG